This 468-nucleotide ribosomal RNA is filed under the name uncultured bacterium. RNAcentral describes it as "partial 16S ribosomal RNA". It matches the Rfam family "Bacterial small subunit ribosomal RNA", at positions 28 to 507 of the family's 1533-position model. The record is from RNAcentral.
GACGAACGCUGGCGGCGUGCUUAACACAUGCAAGUCGAACGGAAAGGCCCUGCUUUUGUGGGGUGCUCGAGUGGCGAACGGGUGAGUAACACGUGAGUAACCUGCCCUUGACUUUGGGAUAACUUCAGGAAACUGGGGCUAAUACCGGAUAGGAGCUCCUGCUGCAUGGUGGGGGUUGGAAAGUUUCGGCGGUUGGGGAUGGACUCGCGGCUGAUCAGCUUGUUGGUGGGGUAGUGGCUUACCAAGGCUUUGACGGGUAGCCGGCCUGAGAGGGUGACCGGCCACAUUGGGACUGAGAUACGGCCCAGACUCCUACGGGAGGCAGCGGUGGGGAAUAUUGCACAAUGGGCGGAAGCCUGAUGCAGCAACGCCGCGUGCGGGAUGACGGCCUUCGGGUUGUAAACCGCUUUCGCCUGUGACGAAGCGUGAGUGACGGUAAUGGGUAAAGAAGCACCGGCUAACUACGUG